This 443-nucleotide long non-coding RNA is filed under the name Citrus maxima (pomelo). RNAcentral describes it as "long non-coding RNA (CMAX_LNC000680)". Lineage: Eukaryota; Viridiplantae; Streptophyta; Magnoliopsida; Sapindales; Rutaceae. The record is from RNAcentral.
GCCAAUUAAUAUUUUCUUUAUAUUGUUUUGUUCAUUUUUGUUCAUUCAAUUCGAAUAGCAAAUACCAAGAGUGAUAAGUUGAAUAAAAAUUCUUAUAGUAUCACAGGCGGGUGAUUAAAAAAAAAGAAAAGAAAGAUGCUUUAUAAAAUAAUUCCCCUUUUAGUUGAUUUUAGUCAAUUCUUCAAUUCAACGAUUGACCAAAAGAGAAUAUUAAUAUAAUAAAUUGCAUGGCCGUACCUCAAUCAAAUACUGAUAUUUAGUUCUAUGCAAUGAUUCGCCCCAAUGAAUUCGUCUAUUUCGAUUGUAGCCUGGUGGAUAAUGAUAACGAAAAGGAAUAGAAAAAAAAAAGAGAUUUAUAAAAAACGGGGUGAUUCGGCGAGGGGUACAUAAUUAGGUAUAUGGAAUCAAAUGCCAACUCUUGUGUAUUUUUUGAGUUUUAAAAG